UACGUAGGGUGCGAGCGUUAAUCGGAAUUACUGGGCGUAAAGCGUGCGCAGGCGGUUUUGUAAGCCAGAUGUGAAAUCCCCGGGCUUAACCUGGGAAUGGCAUUUGGGACUGCAAGGCUGGAGUUUGGCAGAGGAGACUGGAAUUCCUGGUGUAGCAGUGAAAUGCGUAGAUAUCAGGAGGAAUACCGAUGGCGAAGGCAGGUCUCUGGGCUGAAACUGACGCUCAUGCACGAAAGCGUGGGGAGCAAACAGG
This 253-nucleotide ribosomal RNA is filed under the name uncultured bacterium. RNAcentral describes it as "partial 16S ribosomal RNA". It matches the Rfam family "Bacterial small subunit ribosomal RNA", at positions 524 to 776 of the family's 1533-position model. The record is from RNAcentral.